This 434-nucleotide ribosomal RNA is filed under the name uncultured Clostridiales Family XIV bacterium. Its description in RNAcentral is "bacterial SSU rRNA". It matches the Rfam family "Bacterial small subunit ribosomal RNA", at positions 341 to 792 of the family's 1533-position model. Lineage: Bacteria; Bacillati; Bacillota; Clostridia; Eubacteriales; Clostridiales Family XIV. Incertae Sedis. The record is from RNAcentral.
ACGGGAGGCAGCAGUGGGGAAUAUUGCACAAUGGGGGAAACCCUGAUGCAGCGACGCCGCGUGAGUGAAGAAGUAUUUCGGUAUGUAAAGCUCUAUCAGCAGGAAAGAAAAUGACGGUACCUGACUAAGAAGCCCCGGCUAACUACGUGCCAGCAGCCGCGGUAAUACGUAGGGGGCGAGCGUUAUCCGGAUUUACUGGGUGUAAAGGGAGCGUAGACGGCUUUGCAAGUCUGAAGUGAAAGCCCGGGGCUCAACCCCGGAACUGCUUUGGAAACUGUAGAGCUAGAGUGCAGGAGAGGUAAGUGGAAUUCCUAGUGUAGCGGUGAAAUGCGUAGAUAUCAGGAGGAACACCGGUGGCGAAGGCGGCCUGCUGGACAGAAACUGACGCUGAGGCUCGAAAGCGUGGGGAGCAAACAGGAUUAGAUACCCUGGUA